RNAcentral lists this unclassified non-coding RNA (290 nucleotides) under Waitea circinata. Its description in RNAcentral is "partial internal transcribed spacer region". The stretch from base 1 to 46 matches the Rfam family "Eukaryotic small subunit ribosomal RNA", at positions 1786 to 1831 of the family's 1831-position model. The record is from RNAcentral. Lineage: Eukaryota; Fungi; Basidiomycota; Agaricomycetes; Corticiales; Corticiaceae.
AAGUCGUAACAAGGUUUCCGUAGGUGAACCUGCGGAAGGAUCAUUAAUGAUUGGUGGCUGUUGCUGACUAGUGUUUCUAGUAUGUGCACGCCACACCUUCAAUCCCACUUACACCUGUGCACCUUCUGUAAUAGAUCUAUGUGGAUACGGAGAUAUGAAAGUUUGCGCUCUCGUACUCUGUUGAAGCAGUCUACUACGUUUUUUUUUACACACACACACAAUAGUCAUUGAAUGUAUUUUUUUUAUUCUUAUGAUAAAAACAACUUUCAACAACGGAUCUCUUGGCUCUC